This is a long non-coding RNA of Myodes glareolus (Bank vole), 1585 nucleotides long. RefSeq lists it as uncharacterized. Lineage: Eukaryota; Metazoa; Chordata; Mammalia; Rodentia; Cricetidae. The record is from RefSeq and is a predicted model, not a curated record.
UUUUCCCCAAUUUUCCUCAACCGAGUGCUCCAAAUAAAGGCGUGAUAUGGGAAGGAAUCUCGAUUUCGUGGUCGUCCAUUCCUGCUGGUCAGGAAGCGCGCCACAGGAGGCUAAGCCAAGAUGUGGACAGAACAAGCUGCAGACCCUAUAGAAGCAAAAGGCCCAUUAAAGCUGCAGAUCCAGAGUUCUGGUGAGGUGGGAACCAGGAAGUGACUGUUGCCAUGGCAGGGAGUUGGCAACAACCUGCAUACCCAGGAGGACCCCAGAACAUCCUGAAGGACUCCCGAGUUCACCACUCGCCACAGUCACUUCGUCCAUUAACCCCAAACCUUUUCUGUUUUGUGAAAGGGUCUCAGGCUGGCCAUGAGUUGGGGAUAAAGGGGUCAGGAUUUCACUCUCGCCGAGCUGCCCUCAAACCCACAGUAAUCCUCCUGCCUCAGUCUCCCAAGUGUUGAGAUCACAGUUAAGGACGCUGGGCCGCAGGUCACGUCUAUGUUCCCCAGAAUGGCCCCGGAAGAAAUGUAUGAUGUCGAGCCGCAGCACCAGGUCGGACAGCGCCUCCUCCCACCUGUUUGAGGUCACCGCCACAAGUCUCCAGGGCUUUCUUGCAGUUGACGAAGGAGUAGCCUGUUUUCCGCCGCAGCUUCAUAAGGAGCUCCUUGCUGGAGGCAGAUGCCAACGAGGGGCCCGCGUGAAACGUGUGCCAUGGCUGGGACGACUGAAGCAGGACCGACCUCGCCUGAAGGGAGGAAGGAGAAAGGGAUGAGCAGUCGGGAGCGCCCGGGGCUGGACAGAGGCGAGGGGACACUUCCUCAGGGUGAGCCCUCGGGGGCACUGUGGGCCGGCCGGGUGGAAAGGCGUGGAUCGGGGAACGGGAAGGGCACGCUCACGGCGCCCGAGAGCGCAGGUUAGCCCCUGAGCCACGAGCCCUCACCGAGCGGCCGGUGCACGCGACCGGGAAGAAGCGCAGCGACCGCAGCACCGACAUUCUCUCUAGCAGCCGGACACGCCCGCGCGCCGGCGCACAGGUAAGACGCCGGCCUACGGCGUAGUGCGAGGGCCAAAACUCUUCCCGGACCGUGUCGGGAGAGGAUGCUGCCACCUGCAGACCGGAGGAAUAUAAUCGCCUCUUCGGCUUGACUUUUUAAAACUGUAUCAGAAAAGAUUUAGACCUCAGUGGGUAAAACAGAAAGACGACACGAUAACAUUGUCACAAAAUAACAACACAAAACAUGUAGGCAAUAGUUUAUGUUUCUUUAUUUCCAAUUUUCAUUUUCAGUAUUCAUUUAUGACUCAGGACAAAGGGGAAGCAGGUAGGUGGGCUCAGGAAACUAUCCAGUCACCUGAAGAGGUAGCGUGGAGUUCCUUCAACAAACCGAAUAUAUAAUUACUGAAUCAGCAAACUAUCUUCUGAACACCAAUGUGCAUGGGGCUCUUGUCAGUUUCAGGGGAUUAGUGAUGAAUAAAUCACAGACAGCCCUGUGCCCCAAGGCAUCUAUUGGUGAGGAAAUAGAAUCAGGUAGGGCAAGAUAAGGUCCCUAAACAGAUAAAGAUCUCUCAAGAAGGAAGUCACAGCCAAACUGAA